RNAcentral lists this ribosomal RNA (255 nucleotides) under uncultured bacterium. RNAcentral describes it as "partial 16S ribosomal RNA". It matches the Rfam family "Bacterial small subunit ribosomal RNA", at positions 524 to 776 of the family's 1533-position model. The record is from RNAcentral.
UACGAAGGGGGCUAGCGUUGUUCGGAUUUACUUGGGCGUAAAGCGCACGUAGGCGGAUUGUUAAGUCAGGGGUGAAAUCCCGGGGCUCAAACCCCGGAACUGCCUUUGAUACUGGGUGUCUUGAGUCCGGAAGAGGUGAGUGGAAUUGCGAGUGUAGAGGUGAAAUUCGUAGAUAUUCGCAGGAACACCAGUGGCGAAGGCGGCUCACUGGUCCGGUACUGACGCUGAGGUGCGAAAGCGUGGGGAGCAAACAGG